RNAcentral lists this ribosomal RNA (71 nucleotides) under Deltaproteobacteria bacterium. RNAcentral's name for it is "partial 16S ribosomal RNA". It matches the Rfam family "Bacterial small subunit ribosomal RNA", at positions 1 to 70 of the family's 1533-position model. Lineage: Bacteria; Pseudomonadati; Myxococcota; Myxococcia. The record is from RNAcentral.
UAAACUGGAGAGUUUGAUCCUGGCUCAGAACGAACGCUGGCGGCGUGCCUAACACAUGCAAGUCGUACGAG